AGAGUUUUGAUCCUGGCUCAGGGAUGAACGCUGGCGGCGUGCUUAACACAUGCAAGUCGAGCGAAAUAAUUGAGAGCUUGCUUUGAUUAUUUAGCGGCGGACGGGUGAGUAACGUGUGGGUAACCUGCCUUUUACUGGGGAAUAAUCACUGGAAACGGUGACUAAUACCGCAUACGGUUCUUGGAAGGCAUCUUCUGAGAAAGAAAGGAUUUAUUCGGUAAAAGAUGGGCCCGCAUCUGAUUAGCUAGUUGGUGAGAUAACAGCCCACCAAGGCGACGAUCAGUAGCCGACCUGAGAGGGUGACCGGCCACAUUGGGACUGAGACACGGCCCAAACUCCUACGGGAGGCAGCAGUGGGGAAUAUUGCACAAUGGGCGAAAGCCUGAUGCAGCAACGCCGCGUGAAGGAAGACGGUUUUCGGAUUGUAAACUUCUAUCAAUAGGGAAGAAAAAAUGACGGUACCUAAAUAAGAAGCCCCGGCUAACUACGCG
This 491-nucleotide ribosomal RNA is filed under the name uncultured Eubacteriales bacterium. RNAcentral describes it as "bacterial SSU rRNA". It matches the Rfam family "Bacterial small subunit ribosomal RNA", at positions 8 to 507 of the family's 1533-position model. Lineage: Bacteria; Bacillati; Bacillota; Clostridia; Eubacteriales. The record is from RNAcentral.